RNAcentral lists this ribosomal RNA (437 nucleotides) under Ditylum brightwellii. Its description in RNAcentral is "partial Bacterial large subunit ribosomal RNA". It matches the Rfam family "Bacterial large subunit ribosomal RNA", at positions 2460 to 2912 of the family's 2925-position model. The record is from RNAcentral. Lineage: Eukaryota; Bacillariophyta; Thalassiosirophyceae; Lithodesmiales; Lithodesmiaceae.
AAGGUACGCCGGGGAUAACAGGCUAAUCACCCCUUAGAGACCCUAUCGACGGGGUGGCUUGGCACCUCGAUGUUGGAUUAUCGCAUCCUGGAAUUGAAGAAGAUUCCAAGGGUUUGGCUGUUCGCCAAGAAAAGCGGUACAUGAUCUGAGUUUAGAACGUCGUGAGACAGUUUGGUCCCUAUCUACCGUAGGCGGAAGAAAACUGAAAGGAGUAAACCCUAGUACGAGAGGACCGGGAAAAGUAAAUCAAUGGUGGAUCGGUUGUUGUACCAACGGCAUAGCCGAAUAGCUACAUUUAUAAUAGAUAAUUGCUGAAAGCAUCUAAGCAAGAAACUAGCCUUAAGAUAAGUUUUCUAAAAGAUGUAAUAGAUUAUUACUUUGAUAGGUUUUGUGUGUAAGAAUUGUAAAAUUUUUAGCUAAUAAAUACUAAUGUCUUU